AAAGCUACUGUAUCGUAAGAAAAUAUUGCUACAUAAAUCCCCCACCAAAGGCCUAAAUAUGAUCUGACAGGAGGACACGAAGUCCAUUCUAUCUCCUUUUCUUCUCCCAUCUGAUAUCAGCCUUUCUCUUCUCUAAAGAAGAUAAUCAAUGGAGGAUUCACUCUUCUUCAUAGGACUCAUAGGCAAUGUCAUAUCUGUUCUGGUCUUCAGCUCUCCCAUCCCGACGUUUUGGAGGAUUGUUAAGAACGGCUCAACAGAGGAAUU
This is a long non-coding RNA of Dendrobium catenatum, 264 nucleotides long. RefSeq lists it as uncharacterized. The record is from RefSeq and is a predicted model, not a curated record. NCBI's taxonomy places the organism in Eukaryota, Viridiplantae, Streptophyta, Magnoliopsida, Asparagales, Orchidaceae. The transcript is spliced from 3 exons.